RNAcentral lists this ribosomal RNA (468 nucleotides) under uncultured bacterium. Its description in RNAcentral is "partial 16S ribosomal RNA". It matches the Rfam family "Bacterial small subunit ribosomal RNA", at positions 28 to 507 of the family's 1533-position model. The record is from RNAcentral.
GACGAACGCUGGCGGCGUGCUUAACACAUGCAAGUCGAACGGUGAUGCUCCAGCUUGCUGGAGUGGAUCAGUGGCGAACGGGUGAGUAACACGUGAGCAACCUGCCCCAGACUCUGGAAUAAGCGCUGGAAACGGCGUCUAAUACUGGAUACGAAACUGGCCCGCAUGGGCAUGGUUUGGAAAGUUUUUCGGUUUGGGAUGGGCUCGCGGCCUAUCAGCUUGUUGGUGAGGUAAUGGCUCACCAAGGCGACGACGGGUAGCCGGCCUGAGAGGGCGACCGGCCACACUGGGACUGAGACACGGCCCAGACUCCUACGGGAGGCAGCAGUGGGGAAUAUUGCACAAUGGGCGAAAGCCUGAUGCAGCGACGCCGCGUGAGGGAUGACGGCCUUCGAGUUGUAAACCUCUUUCAGCAGGGAAGAAGCGAAAGUGACGGUACCUGCAGAAGAAGCACCGGCUAACUACGUG